GGCUCCGCGGCCGUUAGAGCUGAGGGGCGGCUCGGAGGGGCGGCCCGAGCUCCGGGGGACGGCCCGGUCAGGGCUCUCCGGCAGCGGCUGAGACGCAGGCGGUGCUCCGAGGAGCCUUCCCCGUGGGCUGGAGCAGCAGCCGCGUUGGGAGGAAGAAAGGAGGGCAGGCGGGCGGGGCAGGGGCUGCUCACGCCCCUCACACAGGGAGAGUCCCCAGGCCGCGGACAGAGUGUGCCGCCCGCAGGAAAUGCACGUGCUAAUUAGCAGCCCGGUUCUCUAGAGCAGACAGGGAUCCUUUGCCGGCAUUCCUACCCGGAGGAGAGCACAGGACACGGGUGUCACACAGUGUUACGGAUCACAGGUGCUGCUCCAGUGGUCACAGCCCAAUAGAAAAGUUCCUUUGCUGUGGAUGGCUUGACCUUGCUCUGCAGAGGAAUGCCAUGGAGUCAGCUUCCUGAUUUUUCACACCUGAACAGGUAAGGGGUGUUUCUCUAACCAGAACUGAAAUCCUUCUUCUUUAACUAAAUUCAAAUAUGGAAGUGCUGGAGGUACCAAGAGUCCUCAUCUGACAUCCUUGGAACUGGGAGUCCCCUCCAGCACCCAGCAGCUGCCUUGCCCUGCUUUGCUGGGGGUGCAGGACCCUCAGAGGGGUUGUGGAAUAUCCUAAAACCUCCACUACAAGGUCCUCCUUCCUCUGGUGGCUCCUCCUUUUUCCACGACUCGCUGUGGAACAGCAGUUCAGCUCUUGGGCCUGAGAUCUUGUUUGAUUUAGUUCUGUGUUUCCAAAGCCAGUGUUGCUUGAGAGGCUUUUCAGGUGCUCUGUAACAGUCUCAAAGCAUUGAAGUC
Long non-coding RNA from Pseudopipra pipra, 846 nucleotides. RefSeq lists it as uncharacterized. The transcript has 3 exons. The record is from RefSeq and is a predicted model, not a curated record. Lineage: Eukaryota; Metazoa; Chordata; Aves; Passeriformes; Pipridae.